Molecule: small nuclear RNA, 103 nt
Organism: Bufo bufo (common toad)
Lineage: Eukaryota; Metazoa; Chordata; Amphibia; Anura; Bufonidae
Source: RefSeq, a predicted model, not a curated record
UUGCUUUGGCAGCACACAUACUAAAGUUGGAAUGAUACAGAGAAGAUUAGCAUGGCCCCUGUGCAAGGAUGACAUACCAAUUCAUUAAGCAUUCUGUAUUUUC